CCUACGGGAGGCAGCAGUGGGGGAUAUUGCACAAUGGGGGAAACCCUGAUGCAGCGACGCCGCGUGUGGGAAGACGGUCCUCUGGAUUGUAAACCGCUGUCCCCAGGGACGAAGAUGACGGUACCUGGGGAGGAAGCACCGGCAAACUACGUGCCAGCAGCCGCGGUAAUACGUAGGGAGCGAGCGUUGUCCGGAAUUACUGGGUGAAAAGGGAGCGUAGGCGGGACUGCAAGUUGGGUGUCAAAUCUACCGGCUCAACCGGUAGCCGCACUCAAACCUGCAGUUCUUGAGUGAAGUAGAGGCAGGCGGAAUUCCUAGUGUAGCGGUGAAAUGCGUAGAUAUUAGGAGGAACACCAGUGGCGAAGGCGGCCUGCUGGGCUUUUACUGACGCUGAGGCUCGAAAGUGUGGGGAGCAAACAGGAUUAGAUACCCCGGUAGUC
This 440-nucleotide ribosomal RNA is filed under the name uncultured bacterium. RNAcentral's name for it is "partial 16S ribosomal RNA". It matches the Rfam family "Bacterial small subunit ribosomal RNA", at positions 338 to 795 of the family's 1533-position model. The record is from RNAcentral.